UAUUAGGAUUCAUUUAUUACAAAUUCAUGAGUUUUAGAGGUUUAGCUGGCGACACUUCUUCAGAUCUUGCAGGUGACCACAACACAAGUAUGGAGGCAGCAGACAAGACAUUCUUCCUCUUCAGUUAACAACAAGGUUCUUGUGGCCCACUUCUUGAAUCCAGUGACACUGAAGCAUUUCUCCCAUUCACCAGUGAGAUGGAAAUGAAUCGCUUGUACCAAUGAAGCUUGGUAACACUGCAUCUAACCUAUUAGGGGAUCGUGAAGUGAGGUGUGGUCUGAUUACUGUAUAUAAGCAAUCGAUAAGUGAAUGAUUUACGGGCUAUUCAUACCCGUGCACCUCUUGAGUGGCUUGUCUUCAUCAGUCAAUCGAAUAAUGAUGAGUCUUUCAAGAGUGGUUCAUUAUAGACGCUUGAGAGAUACCACACAUUGUCAACCUCACCAACAACAAUGUAGCACUCAGCGUAUCCAGUUCCUACUGACUCCAAAAGAUUUCUGUUUUGACAUAAACAGCCAGCCAGACUCCGGUCGAAUUGAGCUUCCACACACUCGUCCCACAUCGAGCUCCUCGGCUCUGCCCGCAUUCAGAGUGCCACGCUCUACGACUCUUGCCCUGCAUCUGCAUGCUCUACCCCCCAGCCUCGCUCAGCUGUCUGCCCUGCUUCAGGCUUUGGCUCAAGUUCUACGACACGUCGCUACACUGCCAACAAACCGACUGCUGUAACCAAGACUAGUGGUUUUGAUAUUUUGGUAAACUCGAGAGUAUCUAAUCAACCAAGUAAUGCAGUACAUAACUGCACCAUGAAUUUGUCACAUGGAACAAAUGCAGGGGUUAAAGUGGAUGGAGUGUCUCCUAGUGAAGCUAUAGACUGGAGUGCUGCUGCUUCAUGCUCAUAUCCUCUUCCUACUCAAAAGUUGCAAGGUGAUUACAAGGUCCACAAUUAUUAUAGUAUUUUAACAUUAGUAACCAUUUUGAGAAACUAAUCAUUUCAGCAUGCACUUACAUUUAUCUUUUAAACUUAUCUGAAUACAGUACAUCAUUUUCUUGAAAUGGAGCCAAACACAUUUGCCAGAAUGGCAAUUGUAUAGUACUUUGGCAGUGAAAAAUUUAGAUUGUAUAAUCAUUGAGAAUUUUAUACACUUCAAGUUAUAAUGUUAACAUAUUGCACUUUUAAUAUAGUCCAAUAUCACCUUUGCCAUCUCAGUUUUCAAGCUGUGCAUGCAAGUUACUAUGACUAGAAUAAAAACCACCUUCAAAA
RNA transcript from Procambarus clarkii (red swamp crayfish), 1258 nucleotides. RefSeq lists it as uncharacterized. Lineage: Eukaryota; Metazoa; Arthropoda; Malacostraca; Decapoda; Cambaridae. The record is from RefSeq and is a predicted model, not a curated record.